Molecule: ribosomal RNA, 2924 nt
Filed under: Escherichia coli
Lineage: Bacteria; Pseudomonadati; Pseudomonadota; Gammaproteobacteria; Enterobacterales; Enterobacteriaceae
Description: partial 23S ribosomal RNA
Rfam family: Bacterial large subunit ribosomal RNA
Source: RNAcentral
GGGUUGUGAGGUUAAGCGACUAAGCGUACACGGUGGAUGCCCUGGCAGUCAGAGGCGAUGAAGGACGUGCUAAUCUGCGAUAAGCGUCGGUAAGGUGAUAUGAACCGUUAUAACCGGCGAUUUCCGAAUGGGGAAACCCAGUGUGUUUCGACACACUAUCAUUAACUGAAUCCAUAGGUUAAUGAGGCGAACCGGGGGAACUGAAACAUCUAAGUACCCCGAGGAAAAGAAAUCAACCGAGAUUCCCCCAGUAGCGGCGAGCGAACGGGGAGCAGCCCAGAGCCUGAAUCAGUGUGUGUGUUAGUGGAAGCGUCUGGAAAGGCGCGCGAUACAGGGUGACAGCCCCGUACACAAAAAUGCACAUAUUGUGAGCUCGAUGAGUAGGGCGGGACACGUGGUAUCCUGUCUGAAUAUGGGGGGACCAUCCUCCAAGGCUAAAUACUCCUGACUGACCGAUAGUGAACCAGUACCGUGAGGGAAAGGCGAAAAGAACCCCGGCGAGGGGAGUGAAAAAGAACCUGAAACCGUGUACGUACAAGCAGUGGGAGCCUCUUUUAUGGGGUGACUGCGUACCUUUUGUAUAAUGGGUCAGCGACUUAUAUUCUGUAGCAAGGUUAACCGAAUAGGGGAGCCGAAGGGAAACCGAGUCUUAACUGGGCGUUAAGUUGCAGGGUAUAGACCCGAAACCCGGUGAUCUAGCCAUGGGCAGGUUGAAGGUUGGGUAACACUAACUGGAGGACCGAACCGACUAAUGUUGAAAAAUUAGCGGAUGACUUGUGGCUGGGGGUGAAAGGCCAAUCAAACCGGGAGAUAGCUGGUUCUCCCCGAAAGCUAUUUAGGUAGCGCCUCGUGAAUUCAUCUCCGGGGGUAGAGCACUGUUUCGGCAAGGGGGUCAUCCCGACUUACCAACCCGAUGCAAACUGCGAAUACCGGAGAAUGUUAUCACGGGAGACACACGGCGGGUGCUAACGUCCGUCGUGAAGAGGGAAACAACCCAGACCGCCAGCUAAGGUCCCAAAGUCAUGGUUAAGUGGGAAACGAUGUGGGAAGGCCCAGACAGCCAGGAUGUUGGCUUAGAAGCAGCCAUCAUUUAAAGAAAGCGUAAUAGCUCACUGGUCGAGUCGGCCUGCGCGGAAGAUGUAACGGGGCUAAACCAUGCACCGAAGCUGCGGCAGCGACACUAUGUGUUGUUGGGUAGGGGAGCGUUCUGUAAGCCUGUGAAGGUGUGCUGUGAGGUAUGCUGGAGGUAUCAGAAGUGCGAAUGCUGACAUAAGUAACGAUAAAGCGGGUGAAAAGCCCGCUCGCCGGAAGACCAAGGGUUCCUGUCCAACGUUAAUCGGGGCAGGGUGAGUCGACCCCUAAGGCGAGGCCGAAAGGCGUAGUCGAUGGGAAACAGGUUAAUAUUCCUGUACUUGGUGUUACUGCGAAGGGGGGACGGAGAAGGCUAUGUUGGCCGGGCGACGGUUGUCCCGGUUUAAGCGUGUAGGCUGGUUUUCCAGGCAAAUCCGGAAAAUCAAGGCUGAGGCGUGAUGACGAGGCACUACGGUGCUGAAGCAACAAAUGCCCUGCUUCCAGGAAAAGCCUCUAAGCAUCAGGUAACAUCAAAUCGUACCCCAAACCGACACAGGUGGUCAGGUAGAGAAUACCAAGGCGCUUGAGAGAACUCGGGUGAAGGAACUAGGCAAAAUGGUGCCGUAACUUCGGGAGAAGGCACGCUGAUAUGUAGGUGAAGCGACUUGCUCGUGGAGCUGAAAUCAGUCGAAGAUACCAGCUGGCUGCAACUGUUUAUUAAAAACACAGCACUGUGCAAACACGAAAGUGGACGUAUACGGUGUGACGCCUGCCCGGUGCCGGAAGGUUAAUUGAUGGGGUCAGCGCAAGCGAAGCUCUUGAUCGAAGCCCCGGUAAACGGCGGCCGUAACUAUAACGGUCCUAAGGUAGCGAAAUUCCUUGUCGGGUAAGUUCCGACCUGCACGAAUGGCGUAAUGAUGGCCAGGCUGUCUCCACCCGAGACUCAGUGAAAUUGAACUCGCUGUGAAGAUGCAGUGUACCCGCGGCAAGACGGAAAGACCCCGUGAACCUUUACUAUAGCUUGACACUGAACAUUGAGCCUUGAUGUGUAGGAUAGGUGGGAGGCUUUGAAGUGUGGACGCCAGUCUGCAUGGAGCCGACCUUGAAAUACCACCCUUUAAUGUUUGAUGUUCUAACGUUGACCCGUGAUCCGGGUUGCGGACAGUGUCUGGUGGGUAGUUUGACUGGGGCGGUCUCCUCCUAAAGAGUAACGGAGGAGCACGAAGGUUGGCUAAUCCUGGUCGGACAUCAGGAGGUUAGUGCAAUGGCAUAAGCCAGCUUGACUGCGAGCGUGACGGCGCGAGCAGGUGCGAAAGCAGGUCAUAGUGAUCCGGUGGUUCUGAAUGGAAGGGCCAUCGCUCAACGGAUAAAAGGUACUCCGGGGAUAACAGGCUGAUACCGCCCAAGAGUUCAUAUCGACGGCGGUGUUUGGCACCUCGAUGUCGGCUCAUCACAUCCUGGGGCUGAAGUAGGUCCCAAGGGUAUGGCUGUUCGCCAUUUAAAGUGGUACGCGAGCUGGGUUUAGAACGUCGUGAGACAGUUCGGUCCCUAUCUGCCGUGGGCGCUGGAGAACUGAGGGGGGCUGCUCCUAGUACGAGAGGACCGGAGUGGACGCAUCACUGGUGUUCGGGUUGUCAUGCCAAUGGCACUGCCCGGUAGCUAAAUGCGGAAGAGAUAAGUGCUGAAAGCAUCUAAGCACGAAACUUGCCCCGAGAUGAGUUCUCCCUGACCCUUUAAGGGUCCUGAAGGAACGUUGAAGACGACGACGUUGAUAGGCCGGGUGUGUAAGCGCAGCGAUGCGUUGAGCUAACCGGUACUAAUGAACCGUGAGGCUUAACCUUACAACGCCGAAG